Molecule: ribosomal RNA, 715 nt
Filed under: Bacillus thuringiensis
Lineage: Bacteria; Bacillati; Bacillota; Bacilli; Caryophanales; Bacillaceae
Description: partial 16S ribosomal RNA
Rfam family: Bacterial small subunit ribosomal RNA
Source: RNAcentral
GGCGAAGGGCGACUUUUUGCUUCUGUAAACUGACUCUUGAGGCGCGAAAAGCGUUGGGGAGCAAACAGGAAUUAGAUACCCUGGUAGACCCCCCCCUUAAACCGAUGAGUGUUAAGUGUUAGAGGGUUUCCCGCCCCUCUAGUGCUCGAAGAUAACGCAUUUAAGCACUCCGCCUCGGGGAGUACGGCCGCAAGGCUGAAACUCAAAGGAAAUUGACGGGGGCCCGCACAAGCGGUGGAGCAUGUGGUUUAAUUCGAAGCAACGCGAAGAACCUUACCAGGUCUUGACAUCCUCUGACAACCCUAGAGAUAGGGCUUCUCCUUCGGGAGCAGAGUGACAGGUGGUGCAUGGUUGUCGUCAGCUCGUGUCGUGAGAUGUUGGGUUAAGUCCCGCAACGAGCGCAACCCUUGAUCUUAGUUGCCAUCAUUAAGUUGGGCACUCUAAGGUGACUGCCGGUGACAAACCGGAGGAAGGUGGGGAUGACGUCAAAUCAUCAUGCCCCUUAUGACCUGGGCUACACACGUGCUACAAUGGACGGUACAAAGAGCUGCAAGACCGCGAGGUGGAGCUAAUCUCAUAAAACCGUUCUCAGUUCGGAUUGUAGGCUGCAACUGGCGGGCGUGAAGCCCGAUUCGUUUGUAAUUUUGGAUCAGGGGGGGGGGGGGGCUUCCCCUUUUUUUUUGGUUUGGGGGGGGGGGGGGGCCCCCUUUUUCCC